RNAcentral lists this ribosomal RNA (467 nucleotides) under uncultured bacterium. Its description in RNAcentral is "partial 16S ribosomal RNA". It matches the Rfam family "Bacterial small subunit ribosomal RNA", at positions 28 to 507 of the family's 1533-position model. The record is from RNAcentral.
GACGAACGCUGGCGGCGUGCUUAACACAUGCAAGUCGAACGGAAAGGCCCUGCUUUUGUGGGGUGCUCGAGUGGCGAACGGGUGAGUAACACGUGAGUAACCUGCCCUUGACUUUGGGAUAACUUCAGGAAACUGGGGCUAAUACCGGAUAGGAGCUCCUGCUGCAUGGUGGGGGUUGGAAAGUUUCGGCGGUUGGGGAUGGACUCGCGGCUUAUCAGCUUGUUGGUGGGGUAGUGGCUUACCAAGGCUUUGACGGGUAGCCGGCCUGAGAGGGUGACCGGCCACAUUGGGACUGAGAUCCGGCCCGGACUCCUAGGGGAGGCAGCGGUGGGGAAUAUUGCACAAUGGGCGGAAGCCUGAUGCAGCAACGCCGCGUGCGGGAGGACGGCCUUCGGGUUGUAAACCGCUUUCGCCUGUGACGAAGCGUGGGUGACGGUAAUGGGAAAAGAAGAACCGGCUAACACGUG